AAUUAUUAUAAACUGAAAAGAAAAAAAAAUUAAAUUAUAUUAUUUUACCUUUUGCAUAAUGGUUUAACAAACCUAAUACAAAUUUGUUUUCCCCGAAUUUAGAAGAUCUAAUUUUAAAAACUUCAUUUUUAAAGAAAAAUAAAUUAAUAAUGUUUCAAAAUUAUAAUUAUAGAAAAAAUUAGGGGUGAAAGGCUUAUCAAUUCUAAAGAUAUCUGGAAUAAUUUAAAAUGUAUUUAGUACAAAUAAAAUUUUGAAUAAAUAAAUGUUAAGAUUUUUUUAACAAAGAAUAUUAAUUAUAUUAUAAUUAAGGAUUAAUCUCCUAUUUAAAUUUAAUAUUAAAAAUUAAUAAUUAUUUAUAUCUUUAAUAUAAAAUUAUAUUUCGACCUACUAAAUUUAAAAUUAAUUAUGUUAAAAUUAGUAUAAAUUAUAUUAUUUAUUUAAAGAACUCGGCAAACUAUUAUUCAUCUGUUUAUCAAAAACAUAGUCUUAUGAAAAAAUAUAAGGUGCAACCUGCCCACUGUUAUAUAAAUGGCCGCAGUACUUUGACUGUGCUAAGGUAGCAUAAUAAAUUGACUCUUAAUUGGGGCCUUGAAUGAAAGGAAUUAUGGGUAAUUUCUGUUUCAAAUAAAUAAAUUUAAAAUUACUUAAAAGGUGAAAAUUCCUUUAAUAUAAUAAAAUAGACGAGAAGACCCUAGGAGUUAUAAUUUUUGUUGGGGCGACAAUAUAGCAUUUAACCUAUAUAUAAAAAUUAAAUACAACAAUAUAUAAUAAUAAUAAAAUAACUACCCUAGGGAUAACAGCAUAAUUUAUUUCUUAAGUUUGUGACCUCGAUG
RNAcentral lists this ribosomal RNA (833 nucleotides) under Brevisentis jacksoniensis. Its description in RNAcentral is "partial 16S ribosomal RNA". Lineage: Eukaryota; Metazoa; Mollusca; Gastropoda; Stylommatophora; Helicarionidae. The record is from RNAcentral.